Molecule: non-coding RNA, 108 nt
Organism: Corylus avellana
Lineage: Eukaryota; Viridiplantae; Streptophyta; Magnoliopsida; Fagales; Betulaceae
Source: RefSeq, a predicted model, not a curated record
UAUCCAUGUGGAGGGCAUCUUAUCAACAACUCCUUAAAUCUCUCCCAACUUUCGGAAAACUUCUCAUCCUCCUCCUGAGUGAAAGAACUAAUAUCCUUUCUGCAUUCA